This 292-nucleotide ribosomal RNA is filed under the name uncultured bacterium. RNAcentral describes it as "partial 16S ribosomal RNA". The record is from RNAcentral.
GGACUACUGGGGUAUCUAAUCCUGUUCGCUCCCCUGGCUUUCGCACCUGAGCGUCAGAAACCAUCCAGGACACUGCCUUCGCCUUUGGUAUUCCUCCGGAUAUCUACGCAUUUCACCACUCCACCCGGAAUUCUAUGUCCCUCUCUGGUCCUCAAGUCCACCAGUUUUCAGAGGCCUUGCUCAGUUAAGCCGAGCACUGUCACUCCAAACUUGGCAAACCGCCUGCGUGCCCUUUACGCCCAGUAACUCCGGACAACGCUUGCCCCCUACGUAUUACCGCGGCUGCUGGCAC